UACGGGGGGAGCAAGCGUUGUUCGGAUUUACUGGGCGUAAAGGGCGGGUAGGCGGCCACCGCAAGUCAGUUGUGAAAUCUCCGGGCUUAACCCGGAAAGGUCAACUGAUACUGCGGGGCUAGAGUGCAGAAGGGGCAACUGGAAUUCUCGGUGUAGCGGUGAAAUGCGUAGAUAUCGAGAGGAACACCUGCGGCGAAGGCGGGUUGCUGGGCUGACACUGACGCUGAGGCACGAAGGCCAGGGGAGCAAACGGG
RNAcentral lists this ribosomal RNA (254 nucleotides) under uncultured bacterium. RNAcentral describes it as "partial 16S ribosomal RNA". It matches the Rfam family "Bacterial small subunit ribosomal RNA", at positions 524 to 776 of the family's 1533-position model. The record is from RNAcentral.